RNAcentral lists this ribosomal RNA (254 nucleotides) under uncultured bacterium. Its description in RNAcentral is "partial 16S ribosomal RNA". It matches the Rfam family "Bacterial small subunit ribosomal RNA", at positions 524 to 776 of the family's 1533-position model. The record is from RNAcentral.
UACGUAGGGUGCAAGCGUUAAUCGGAAUUACUGGGCGUAAAGCGUGCGCAGGCGGUUUUGUAAGUCUGUCGUGAAAUCCCCGGGCUCAACCUGGGAAUUGCGAUGGAGACUGCAAGGCUAGAAUCUGGCAGAGGGGGGUAGAAUUCCACGUGUAGCAGUGAAAUGCGUAGAGAUGUGGAGGAACACCGAUGGCGAAGGCAGCCCCCUGGGUCAAGGAUUGACGCUCAUGCACGAAAGGCGUGGGGGCAAACAGG